This 152-nucleotide unclassified non-coding RNA is filed under the name uncultured Pleosporales. Its description in RNAcentral is "sequence contains ITS2". The record is from RNAcentral. Lineage: Eukaryota; Fungi; Ascomycota; Dothideomycetes; Pleosporales.
GUACCCUCAAGCUUUGCUUGGUGUUGGGUGUUUGUCCGAGCAAACUGCAAGGACUCGCCUUAAAAGUAUUGGCAGCCAGUGUAUCAGUCUUGGAGCGCAGCACAAUUUGCGUCUCUAGCAGUUAUUCUGGUAUCCAGUAAGCCUAUUUUAAC